This 434-nucleotide ribosomal RNA is filed under the name uncultured Acetivibrio sp. RNAcentral's name for it is "partial 16S ribosomal RNA". It matches the Rfam family "Bacterial small subunit ribosomal RNA", at positions 341 to 792 of the family's 1533-position model. The record is from RNAcentral. Lineage: Bacteria; Bacillati; Bacillota; Clostridia; Acetivibrionales; Acetivibrionaceae.
ACGGAAGGCAGCAGUCGGGAAUAUUGCGCAAUGGAGGAAACUCUGACGCAGUGACGCCGCGUAUAGGAAGAAGGUUUUCGGAUUGUAAACUAUUUUAGACAGGGAAGAUAAUGACAGUACCUGUAGAAUAAGCUCCGGCUAACUACGUGCCAGCAGCCGCGGUAAUACGUAGGGAGCAAGCGUUAUCCGGAUUUAUUGGGUGUAAAGGGUGCGUAGACGGGAAAUCAAGUUAGUUGUGAAAGCCCUCGGCUUAACUGAGGAACUGCAACUAAAACUAAUUCUCUUGAGUGCGGGAGAGGAAAGCGGAAUUCCUAGUGUAGCGGUGAAAUGCGUAGAUAUUAGGAGGAACACCAGUGGCGAAGGCGGCUUUCUGGACUGUAACUGACGUUGAGGCACGAAAGUGUGGGGAGCAAACAGGAUUAGAUACCCUGGUA